AGUGGCGGACGGGUGAGUAACGCGUGAGAAUCUGCCCUCAGGUCGGGGAUAACAGUUCGAAAGAGCUGCUAAUACCGGAUGUGCCGCAAGGUGAAAGAUUUAUUGCCUGAGGAUGAGCUCGCGUAAGAUUAGCUAGUUGGUAGGGUAAUGGCCUACCAAGGCGACGAUCUUUAACUGGUCUGAGAGGAUGAUCAGUCACACUGGAACUGAGACACGGUCCAGACUCCUACGGGAGGCAGCAGUGGGGAAUUUUCCGCAAUGGGCGAAAGCCUGACGGAGCAAGACCGCGUGCGGGAGGAAGGCCCUUGGGUCGUAAACCGCUUUUGUCAGGGAAGAACUCAAUGACGGUACCUGAUGAAUCAGCCUCGGCUAACUCCGUGCCAGCAGCCGCGGUAAGACGGAGGAGGCAAGCGUUAUCCGGAAUUAUUGGGCGUAAAGCGUCCGCAGGUGGCAUCUCAAGUCUGUCGUCAAAACCCAGGGCUUAACUCUGGACAGGCGAUGGAAACUGGGUCGCUAGAGUAUGGUAGGGGUAGAGGGAAUUCCAGGUGUAGCGGUGAAAUGCGUAGAUAUCUGGAAGAACACCAGUGGCGAAAGCGCUCUACUGGGCCAUAACUGACACUCAUGGACGAAAGCUAGGGGAGCGAAAGGGAUUAGAUACCCCUGUAGUCCUAGCCGUAAACGAUGAACACUAGGUGUUGUC
RNAcentral lists this ribosomal RNA (700 nucleotides) under uncultured bacterium. RNAcentral describes it as "bacterial SSU rRNA". It matches the Rfam family "Bacterial small subunit ribosomal RNA", at positions 94 to 827 of the family's 1533-position model. The record is from RNAcentral.